UGGAUCCUGCCGGACCCUACUGCUAUCGGGUGGAGACUAAGCCAUGCGAGUUGUGCGCCUCCUAGCCACGUUGGAGACGCAGCGUACGGCUCCGUAACACGUAGUUAAUCUGCCCUUGGGACGGGAAUAACCCUGGGAAACUGGGGCUAAUUCCCGAUAGGCGCAGUGGCCUGGAAUGGUACUGCACUCAAAAGGCUUCAGGAACAUGCUCUUGAAGCUGCCCAAGGAUGAGACUGCGGCCGAUCAGGUUGUUGGUAGGGUAACGGCCUACCAAGCCUAUAACCGGUACGGGCCCUGAGAGGGGAAGCCCGGAGAUGGGAACUGAGACAAGGUCCCAGGUCCUACGGGGCGCAGCAGGCGCGAAAACUCCGCAAUGCGCGAAUGCGUGACGGGGUUAUCCCGAGUGCCGUCCGAUGAGGAUGGCUUUUCUUCAGUUUAAGGAUCUGGAGGAAUAAAGGGGGGGCAAGACUGGUGUCAGCCGCCGCGGUAAUACCAGCCCCCUGAGUGGUAGGGACGAUUAUUUGGCCUAAAGCGUCCGUAGCCGGCUUAGGAAGUCUUUCGUCAAAUCCGACGAUUCCAUCGUUGGGCCGCGGAAGAUACUGCUAGGCUUGAGGACGGGAGAGGUCGACGGUAGUCCCAGGGUAGGGGUGAAAUCCUAUAAUCCUGGGAGGACCACCAGUGGCGAAGGCGGUCGACUAGAACGUGCCUGACGGUGAUGGACGAAAGCUGGGGGAGCGAACCGGAUUAGACACCCGGGUAGUCCCAGCUGUAAACGAUGCGAGCUAGGUGUUGGAGCAACUACGGGUUGCCCCAGUGCCGCAGAGAAGUUGUUAAGCUCGCCGCCUGGGAAGUACGGCCGCAAGGCUGAAACUUAAAGGAAUUGGCGGGGGAGCACCACAAGGGGUGAAGCUUGCGGUUUAAUUGGAGUCAACGCCGG
This 937-nucleotide ribosomal RNA is filed under the name uncultured archaeon. RNAcentral's name for it is "bacterial SSU rRNA". It matches the Rfam family "Archaeal small subunit ribosomal RNA", at positions 8 to 921 of the family's 1478-position model. The record is from RNAcentral.